This 484-nucleotide ribosomal RNA is filed under the name uncultured bacterium. RNAcentral describes it as "partial 16S ribosomal RNA". It matches the Rfam family "Bacterial small subunit ribosomal RNA", at positions 30 to 507 of the family's 1533-position model. The record is from RNAcentral.
AUUGAACGCUGGCGGCAGGCCUAACACAUGCAAGUCGAGCGGAUGAAGGGAGCUUGCUCCUGGAUUCAGCGGCGGACGGGUGAGUAAUGCCUAGGAAUCUGCCUGGUAGUGGGGGAUAACGUCCGGAAACGGGCGCUAAUACCGCAUACGUCCUGAGGGAGAAAGUGGGGGAUCUUCGGACCUCACGCUAUCAUAUGAGCCUAGGUCGGAUUAGCUAGUUGGUGGGGUAAAGGCCUACCAAGGCGACGAUCCGUAACUGGUCUGAGAGGAUGAUCAGUCACACUGGAACUGAGACACGGUCCAGACGCCUACGGGAGGCAGCAGUGGGGAAUAUUGGACAAUGGGCGAAAGCAUGAUCCAGCCAUGCCGCGUGUGUGAAGAAGGUCUUCGGAUUGUAAAGAACUUUAAGUUGGGAGGAAGGGCAGUAAGUUAAUACCUUGCUGUUUUGACGUUACCAACAGAAUAAGCACCGGCUAACUUCGUG